GUUGAAAUACCAGUUCUCGUACGAUCACCGAAGGUAAGCAACGUCGAGCCUGGUCAGUACCGACAUGGGUGACUGCUGGGAAAUAAAUACCAGGUGUUGUAAG
Non-coding RNA from Acanthosepion pharaonis, 103 nucleotides. The record is from the annotation of a GenBank genome assembly. NCBI's taxonomy places the organism in Eukaryota, Metazoa, Mollusca, Cephalopoda, Sepiida, Sepiidae.